AUUGAACGCUGGCGGAAUGCUUUACACAUGCAAGUCGAACGGUAGAGGGGGGCAACCCCUUGAGAGUGGCGAACGGGUGAGUAAUAUAUCGGAACGUGCCCAGUCGUGGGGAUAACGUAGCGAAAGUUACGCUAAUACCGCAUACGAUCUACGGAUGAAAGCGGGGGGACUCGCAAGAGCCUCGCGCGAUUGGAGCGGCCGAUAUCAGAUUAGGUAGUUGGUGGGGUAAAGGCUCACCAAGCCAACGAUCUGUAGCUGGUCUGAGAGGACGACCAGCCACACUGGAACUGAGACACGGUCCAGACUCCUACGGGAGGCAGCAGUGGGGAAUUUUGGACAAUGGACGCAAGUCUGAUCCAGCCAUUCCGCGUGCAGGAUGAAGGCCCUCGGGUUGUAAACUGCUUUUGUACGGAACGAAAGGUUUCUAUUAUACUAGGAGCU
This 441-nucleotide ribosomal RNA is filed under the name uncultured bacterium. RNAcentral's name for it is "bacterial SSU rRNA". It matches the Rfam family "Bacterial small subunit ribosomal RNA", at positions 30 to 470 of the family's 1533-position model. The record is from RNAcentral.